RNAcentral lists this non-coding RNA (28 nucleotides) under Mus musculus (house mouse). Lineage: Eukaryota; Metazoa; Chordata; Mammalia; Rodentia; Muridae. The record is from RNAcentral.
UAGGUUGUUUUUUCAGCUUUAUGGAUUC